This 845-nucleotide long non-coding RNA is filed under the name Mytilus galloprovincialis (Mediterranean mussel). Lineage: Eukaryota; Metazoa; Mollusca; Bivalvia; Mytilida; Mytilidae. The record is from RNAcentral.
AAUUUUUGUCUUGCCAAAGAUGACAGAGUCAAAAAGAGAGGCAUAUAUAUAGUUUUUUUGUUUUGUCAGCAUGGUCAGCAUCAACAAUAUAUUACAAAAAUGUAGUGUGAUUGUGUGAUUGUGUGAUUAGGUCUAGUUUAUGGGAGGUCAAUGAUAUUUGGCCAGUCAGCAGUUGUGUUAGCAUAGGUAUAUCUCAUUACCAGAAUAUUUAGCCCCACCCCCUUUGUCAUGGUCAAUUGACUCUGAAACUUAAUAGUUUUCUCGGACUUCUCUUGAACUGAAUUUUAAUGUGCGUAUUGUUAUGCGUUUACUUUUCUACAUUGGUUAGAGGUAUAGGGGGAGGGUUGAGAUCUCACAAACAUGUUUAACCCCGCCGCAUUUUUGCGCCUGUCCCAAGUCAGUAGCCUCUGGCCUUUGUUAGUCUUGUAAUAUUUUAAUUUUAGUUUCUUGUGUACAAUUUGGAAAUUAGUAUGGCGUUCAUUAUCACUGGACUAGUAUAUAUUUGUUUAGGGGCCAGCUGAAGGACGCCUCCGGGUGCGGGAAUUUCUCGCUACAUUGAAGACCUGUUGGUGACCCUCUGCUGUUGUUUUUUAUUUGGUCGGGUUGUUGUCUCUUUGACACAUUCCCAAUUUCCAUUCUCAAUUUUACAUUUAUUAGUUUUUAAUUAGGUCAGUUAUUCUAGUGAACGGUAAAUGAUAUUUGGUGUGCACUGAGACUACUAUAACACAUAUAGUAGUCUCAGGUGUGCAGUUGUAUAAACUGUCACUUUCAAUUUCUAUUGAGGAUAUUUGGCCCUGCCCCCUCAAUUAUUCUCUUUUUACUUGGAAACUGAUGUUACUUUUAAA